UACGAAGGGUGCAAGCGUUAAUCGGAAUUACUGGGCGUAAAGCGUGCGUAGGCGGUGAGUUAAGUCUGUUGUGAAAUCCCCCGGGCUCAACCUGGGAAUGGCAAUGGAUACUGGCUCGCUAGAGUGUGAUAGAGGAUGGUGGAAUUCCCGGUGUAGCGGUGAAAUGCGUAGAGAUCGGGAGGAACAUCAGUGGCGAAGGCGGCCAUCUGGAUCAACACUGACGCUGAGGCACGAAAGCGUGGGGGAGCAAACAGG
RNAcentral lists this ribosomal RNA (255 nucleotides) under uncultured bacterium. RNAcentral describes it as "partial 16S ribosomal RNA". It matches the Rfam family "Bacterial small subunit ribosomal RNA", at positions 524 to 776 of the family's 1533-position model. The record is from RNAcentral.